This 493-nucleotide long non-coding RNA is filed under the name Brassica napus (rape). Its description in RNAcentral is "long non-coding RNA (BNAP_LNC020285)". Lineage: Eukaryota; Viridiplantae; Streptophyta; Magnoliopsida; Brassicales; Brassicaceae. The record is from RNAcentral.
UCAUCCUAGCUGACCUGAAAUCCGCGUUCUUUCUUCCGACGUGUUCAGGAGGCCCAGAGGGGAAAGAUCCGGUGCUCGGAGAAGGCGGAGGUGAUGCGGCUCCAGGCUUGGACGAACGACGGGUGAAGAGGGAACGUGAGUUCCGAGGAUGACUUUGGUUAGAUCUCUUGCGGGAGAUUUUUUUUUUUUUUAUGUUUGAUGUUUCGGCCUUUAAUGGCCUCAUUUCGUGUUUCGGGACUGGCCGUAUGUGGCUUUGAAUCCCUGCCACUAUGCGGCUUUCUUUUUAUGACAAGAUGAUCAAGUUGUAUUUUUCAUAAGUUUACGUAUGGCGUGGAAGAAGGGUGAUGAGUUAUCGUCUCAUAUUCUUCUUCGUUGUGAAAUGUUUCGUUCGAUAUCUGUUUCGAGAGUUUUUCCGCGAGAUAUCGACUUCGCGGGAUAUCUGAAGAUGUCGAAUAUAAACAUGGAGGCAUGGUUUUGGGAUCUCGUAUCUUUU